AAAAAAUUGAGGGAUUUUUUUGUAAUUAAGCACAUAAACGAGGGAGGAACAGAAAAAAUAAAUAAAUCUAUCCUCCCGUUAUAAUCCGCCGUCCUGCUUCUCAAAGACCCAAGUCCGGAGCUCCUCUACCUCGAGUUUGGUUCCCCGAAAUAUCCCUGAUUUGGAAAGGUGAUGGAGGCUCAAGCACAUGAUGCAAUUGCAUGUGGGCCUCAUGUUAAAACCACACUUAAACUUGCGUCGGAAAUAUACACUGUUGAUGCAAGCAACGGUAGUACCAUCUCAGAGGAAUUGGUUUCUAUGAAAGAGAAAAGCAUGAGCAUAUUGAAGGAAUUCAUCACCAAACAUAAUGUUCCUAAUGAUGUCCCUGAUGACCUGGUCGAAAGCUCUUCUGAAGAUGAAGAACAAAUACCUGAGAAGUCUCAUGUUAAGUCAAAGAAAACAAAACUUACUUGAGUUUCCUUGUUAUGGGCUCAAAUUUGGUAACAUCAAUACCUAGCUUCUUUAUUUUCUAACUGCCUUGAGCAAAAUUUCAGAGGUACUAAGAGUUAGGUUGUUUUGCUAGAUGAAUUGCUACUCGUCUCUUCUAGCUUUACUUUUGUAGUUUUUAUUUCAAUAUUUGAUCAUCAGCUACUGCCUUAUGUGCUGAAA
Long non-coding RNA from Hevea brasiliensis (rubber tree), 648 nucleotides. RefSeq lists it as uncharacterized. The record is from RefSeq and is a predicted model, not a curated record. NCBI's taxonomy places the organism in Eukaryota, Viridiplantae, Streptophyta, Magnoliopsida, Malpighiales, Euphorbiaceae. The transcript has 2 exons.